This 97-nucleotide small nuclear RNA is filed under the name Pteropus alecto (black flying fox). RNAcentral describes it as "U2 spliceosomal RNA". It matches the Rfam family "U2 spliceosomal RNA". From Rfam's summary of the family: U2 is a small nuclear RNA (snRNA) component of the spliceosome (involved in pre-mRNA splicing). Lineage: Eukaryota; Metazoa; Chordata; Mammalia; Chiroptera; Pteropodidae. The record is from Rfam by way of RNAcentral.
UGGCCUUCUCAGCCUUUUGGCUAAGAUCGAGGGUAGUAUCUGUUCCUAUCAGUUUAAAAAAUGCCAUUUGAUCAUUUAUCAGAAGGUCUGAGCUGUC